UACUCCUACGGGAGGCAGCAGUGGGGAAUAUUGCACAAUGGGGGAAACCCUGAUGCAGCAACGCCGCGUGAGUGAUGAAGGUUUUCGGAUCGUAAAGCUCUGUCUUCAGGGACGAUAAUGACGGUACCUAAGGAGGAAGCCACGGCUAACUACGUGCCAGCAGCCGCGGUAAUACGUAGGUGGCAAGCGUUGUCCGGAUUUACUGGGCGUAAAGGGAGCGUAGGCGGAUUUUUAAGUGAGAUGUGAAAUACCCGGGCUCAACUUGGGUGCUGCAUUUCAAACUGGAAGUCUAGAGUGCAGGAGAGGAGAGUGGAAUUCCUAGUGUAGCGGUGAAAUGCGUAGAGAUUAGGAAGAACACCAGUGGCGAAGGCGACUCUCUGGACUGUAACUGACGCUGAGGCUCGAAAGCGUGGGGAGCAAACAGGAUUAGAUACCCUGGUAGUC
This 444-nucleotide ribosomal RNA is filed under the name uncultured bacterium. RNAcentral describes it as "bacterial SSU rRNA". It matches the Rfam family "Bacterial small subunit ribosomal RNA", at positions 334 to 795 of the family's 1533-position model. The record is from RNAcentral.